This 274-nucleotide ribosomal RNA is filed under the name uncultured bacterium. RNAcentral's name for it is "partial 16S ribosomal RNA". It matches the Rfam family "Bacterial small subunit ribosomal RNA", at positions 523 to 796 of the family's 1533-position model. The record is from RNAcentral.
AUACGGAGGGGGCUAGCGUUGUUCGGAAUUACUGGGCGUAAAGCGCGCGUAGGCGGGCUGGUAAGUUGGGGGUGAAAUCCCAGGGCUCAACCCUGGAACUGCCCUCACUACUGCCAGUCUUGAGUUCGAGAGAGGUAAGUGGAAUUCCUAGUGUAGAGGUGAAAUUCGUAGAUAUUAGGAAGAACACCAGUGGCGAAGGCGGCUUACUGGCUCGAUACUGACGCUGAGGCGCGAAAGCGUGGGGAGCAAACAGGAUUAGAUACCCCAGUAGUCC